Molecule: ribosomal RNA, 365 nt
Filed under: uncultured bacterium
Lineage: Bacteria
Description: bacterial SSU rRNA
Rfam family: Bacterial small subunit ribosomal RNA
Source: RNAcentral
GACGAACGCUGGCGGCGUGCAUAACACAUGCAAGUCAAGGGGGCCGGUAGCAAUACCGGUAACCGGCGAACGGGUGCGUAACACGUAAGCGACCUACCUCGAUGUGGGGCAUAGCCGGCCUAACGGCCGGGUAAUUCCGCAUGUGAUCUCGGAGGGGCAUCCUUCUGAGAUGAAACCAGUAAUGGGCAUUGAGAGGGGCUUGCGGCCUAUCAGCUAGUUGGCGAGGUAACGGCUCACCAAGGCGACGACGGGUAGCUGGUCUGAGAGGAUGGCCAGCCACAUUGGGACUGAGAAACGGCCCAGACUCCUACGGGAGGCAGCAGUGGGGAAUCUUGCGCAAUGGCCUAACGGCUGACGCAGCGACG